UACGUAGGGCGCGAGCGUUGUCCGGAAUUAUUGGGCGUAAAGAGCUUGUAGGCGGUUUGUCGCGUCUGCUGUGAAAUUUCGGGGCUCAACCCCGAACUUGCAGUGGGUACGGGCAGGCUAGAGUGUGGUAGGGGAGACUGGAAUUCCUGGUGUAGCGGUGAAAUGCGCAGAUAUCAGGAGGAACACCGAUGGCGAAGGCAGGUCUCUGGGCCACUACUGACGCUGAGAAGCGAAAGCAUGGGGAGCGAACAGG
This 253-nucleotide ribosomal RNA is filed under the name uncultured bacterium. Its description in RNAcentral is "partial 16S ribosomal RNA". It matches the Rfam family "Bacterial small subunit ribosomal RNA", at positions 524 to 776 of the family's 1533-position model. The record is from RNAcentral.